This 373-nucleotide ribosomal RNA is filed under the name uncultured organism. Its description in RNAcentral is "partial 16S ribosomal RNA". It matches the Rfam family "Bacterial small subunit ribosomal RNA", at positions 527 to 896 of the family's 1533-position model. The record is from RNAcentral.
GUAGGUGGCAAGCGUUGUCCGGAAUUAUUGGGCGUAAAGCGCGCGCAGGUGGUUCUUUAAGUCUGAUGUGAAAGUCCCCGGGCUCAACCGGGGAGGGUCAUUGGAAACUGGGGAACUUGAGUGCAGGAGAGGAAAGUGGAAUUCCACGUGUAGCGGUGAAAUGCGUAGAUAUGUGGAGGAACACCAGUGGCGAAGGCGACUUUCUGGCCUGUAACUGACACUGAGGCGCGAAAGCGUGGGGAGCAAACAGGAUUAGAUACCCUGGUAGUCCACGCCGUAAACGAUGAGUGCUAAGUGUUGGGGGGUUUCCGCCCCUCAGUGCUGCAGCUAAGGCAUUAAGCACUCCGCCUGGGGAGUACGGUCGCAAAGACUG